GGGGCGGAUGUAGCCAAGGGGAUCAGGGCAGUGGAUUGUGAAUCCCCCCAUGCGCC
RNAcentral lists this transfer RNA (56 nucleotides) under Euphorbia tithymaloides. Its description in RNAcentral is "partial tRNA-His". Lineage: Eukaryota; Viridiplantae; Streptophyta; Magnoliopsida; Malpighiales; Euphorbiaceae. The record is from RNAcentral.